CAGCAUUUGACAAGGUGCCUCCAACAGUAAGAUGCAGGUAAUCAGUCCAAGAUUUUGGUGCCAUCCCCUGUUUAAGAGUUUCAUGCAGGAUAUUUAUCCAUAGCUCUCCAGCUGAAACAUCCACAUAAGGCUUGAGCUUGACCUUGGAUGGAAUGUCCAUGGCCUCUAGCUGCAACGGUCAAGUCCGACACAUAUCCCAUUCUGAAAAUAUGGUUUAUCGUGCGCGAUAUAUCGGAGACGGAGUUUGGAUGUAAGACAGCUAAUGGGCAUACGUUGAUAUAUCAGAGGAACCAAAAUGAGGUGGAAUUAUUGAGGCUGCAAAUAGGUGGUUCCUGCUGUCAGAGUGAAUGGCGGGCUGGCCCCUACUAAGUUUUAUGCUUCUUCAAGCUGAGUGUCUGGGGAGUCAGAUUACUGGGACCCACUCCAGUUUUUCUUCAUAAGAGUAUACAUUAUGUUUUGACAGCCCUCACCAACGUGUUAUACAUUUAGUCUGCAUAAUUUCCAUGAAGUUUUUACAUAUGAUCAUCAAUUUUUGUGUAAAAUUUACAUUGACAUGUGAAUUCUGGUCGAAGACGUCUUACGAACUUCGAUUCCAAUUUUUUGUAAGGUUGUAUAAUCAAGAUUCGUACCGGUGCACAUGAACUAGCUCAAUUCGUCCCAGUUCUUAAGAAAAGUAAACAGAAUAAGCAUAAUGAUGAAUAUGUUGAAUGCUGACAAACAAACAUUUUCGAAAGCUUCCUACGUCGAUUUUUACUACUGUUUCUAAGUCUCUCGAUUCAAUGUCCUUUCAAAUAGUGAUUCUAUUAGAGCGAAGUUGUUUAAGUUAGAGGUGCAUUUAAUCAUUUAGAUUAUAAUUUUCAAAAGUGCCCUUCUCAAGUGAAAUAAAAGGCAGGACCACCAAGUGAAAUUGCGUUCAAAUUCAACUGCAUCUAGACUUUGAUUUUAUGUUUUCUUUGACUCAAUGAGUGACAGAAGUUGUUUUUGG
Cucurbita maxima (winter squash) is the source of this 985-nucleotide long non-coding RNA. RefSeq lists it as uncharacterized. Lineage: Eukaryota; Viridiplantae; Streptophyta; Magnoliopsida; Cucurbitales; Cucurbitaceae. The transcript is spliced from 4 exons. The record is from RefSeq and is a predicted model, not a curated record.